GAGUUUGAUCAUGGCUCAGGAAUGAACGCUGGCGAUAUGCUUUAUACAUGCAAGUCGUACGAGAGUUUUUAACUCAAGUGGCGGACGGGUGAGUAACACGUAAGAAUUUGCCUUUAGGAGGGGGAUAACAACUGGAAACGGUUGCUAAUACCCCAUAUGCUUUUGAGUGAAAUGGAUUUUUCCGCCUAAAGAGAAGCUUGCGGCUGAUUAGCUUGUAGGUAAGGUAAUGGCUUACUAAGGCGACGAUCAGUAUCUGGUUUGAGAGGACGAUCAGACACACUGGAACUGAGACACGGUCCAGACUCCUACGGGAGGCAGCAGUAGGGAAUUUUCCGCAAUGGGCGAAAGCCUGACGGAGCAAUACCGCGUGAGGGAUGACGGCCUAUGGGUUGUAAACCUCUUUUUUCAGGGAGGAACAAAAUGACGUGUACCUGAAGAUAAGCAUCGGCUAACUCCGUGCCAGCAGCCGCGGUAAGACGGAGGAUGCAAGUGUUAUCCGGAAUCACUGGGCGUAAAGCGUCUGUAGGUGGUCAAAUAAGUCAACUGUAAAUCUUGAGGCUCAACCUCA
This 568-nucleotide ribosomal RNA is filed under the name uncultured stramenopile. Its description in RNAcentral is "bacterial SSU rRNA". It matches the Rfam family "Bacterial small subunit ribosomal RNA", at positions 9 to 617 of the family's 1533-position model. The record is from RNAcentral.